RNAcentral lists this ribosomal RNA (603 nucleotides) under Trichoderma harzianum. RNAcentral describes it as "eukaryotic LSU rRNA". The stretch from base 227 to 380 matches the Rfam family "5.8S ribosomal RNA". Lineage: Eukaryota; Fungi; Ascomycota; Sordariomycetes; Hypocreales; Hypocreaceae. The record is from RNAcentral.
UUGGUGACCAGCGGAGGGAUCAUUACCGAGUUUACAACUCCCAAACCCAAUGUGAACGUUACCAAACUGUUGCCUCGGCGGGAUCUCUGCCCCGGGUGCGUCGCAGCCCCGGACCAAGGCGCCCGCCGGAGGACCAACCAAAACUCUUAUUGUAUACCCCCUCGCGGGUUUUUUUAUAAUCUGAGCCUUCUCGGCGCCUCUCGUAGGCGUUUCGAAAAUGAAUCAAAACUUUCAACAACGGAUCUCUUGGUUCUGGCAUCGAUGAAGAACGCAGCGAAAUGCGAUAAGUAAUGUGAAUUGCAGAAUUCAGUGAAUCAUCGAAUCUUUGAACGCACAUUGCGCCCGCCAGUAUUCUGGCGGGCAUGCCUGUCCGAGCGUCAUUUCAACCCUCGAACCCCUCCGGGGGGUCGGCGUUGGGGAUCGGCCCUGCCUUGGCGGUGGCCGUCUCCGAAAUACAGUGGCGGUCUCGCCGCAGCCUCUCCUGCGCAGUAGUUUGCACACUCGCAUCGGGAGCGCGGCGCGUCCACAGCCGUUAAACACCCAACUUCUGAAAUGUUGACCUCGGAUCAGGUAGGAAUACCCGCUGAACUUAAGCAUAUCAAA